GUACUCACUUUGGUAGCAUGGGUACAAAAAUAGGAAUGAUACAGAGAAAAUUACUAUAGGCCAUGAGCAAGAAUGACAUGUAAAUUCAUGAAAUUCUCCAUAUUUUU
Molecule: small nuclear RNA, 107 nt
Organism: Vulpes vulpes (red fox)
Lineage: Eukaryota; Metazoa; Chordata; Mammalia; Carnivora; Canidae
Source: Ensembl